Molecule: transfer RNA, 72 nt
Filed under: Ovis aries (sheep)
Lineage: Eukaryota; Metazoa; Chordata; Mammalia; Artiodactyla; Bovidae
Rfam family: tRNA
About the family: Transfer RNA (tRNA) molecules are approximately 80 nucleotides in length. Their secondary structure includes four short double-helical elements and three loops (D, anti-codon, and T loops). Further hydrogen bonds mediate the characteristic L-shaped molecular structure. tRNAs have two regions of fundamental functional importance: the anti-codon, which is responsible for specific mRNA codon recognition, and the 3' end, to which the tRNAs corresponding amino acid is attached (by aminoacyl-tRNA synthetases). tRNAs cope with the degeneracy of the genetic code in two manners: having more than one tRNA (with a specific anti-codon) for a particular amino acid; and 'wobble' base-pairing, i.e. permitting non-standard base-pairing at the 3rd anti-codon position.
Source: Rfam by way of RNAcentral
UCCCAGGGGGCUCAGUGGGAAAGAGUCCGCCUGCCAGUGCAGGAGACUCAGGUUCGAUCCCUGAUCUGGGAA